This 780-nucleotide ribosomal RNA is filed under the name uncultured Neocallimastigales. RNAcentral's name for it is "partial large subunit ribosomal RNA". It matches the Rfam family "Eukaryotic large subunit ribosomal RNA", at positions 20 to 643 of the family's 3401-position model. Lineage: Eukaryota; Fungi; Neocallimastigomycota; Neocallimastigomycetes; Neocallimastigales. The record is from RNAcentral.
UCAUCACUACGCUAGAUGCAUAUCAAUAAGCGGAGGAAAAGAAACUAACAAGGAUUCCCCUAGUAACGGCGAGUGAAGCGGGAAGAGCUCAAAUUUGAAAUCUUAAAGGGUUUUCCCUUUACGAAUUGUAGUUUAAAGAAGUGUUUUCUGUUGAGGUUUUGGUAAAAGUUCUUUGGAAUAGGACAUCAUAGAGGGUGAGAAUCCCGUAUUUGACCAUUUACUUUCAAGCUGUGUGAUACACUUUCAAAGAGUCGGAUUGUUUGGGAAUGCAGUCCAAAGAUGGGUGGUAAAUUUCAUCUAAAGCUAAAUAUUGGCGAGAGACCGAUAGCGAACAAGUACCGUGAGGGAAAGAUGAAAAGAACUUUGAAAAGAGAGCUUAAACAGUACGUGAAAUUGUCAAAAGGGAAGCGUUUGACACCAGUGUUGUUUAGUUGAAAAUCAAUUCAAUAGUUUUUGAUUCUAAGUAGUAUUGACUUCAUCAGCUUGCUGCUUUCUUCUCAGAAAUUAUUGAAUGCACUUUUCAGUUAACAAGUCAACAUCAAUUUCUUUUGUUGUAAAAGGGUAAGAGGAAGGUGGCUUGCGCUUCGGCUCAAGUGUUUAUAGCCUUUUAUCUCUGCAAUCGGAGAGAUUGAGGUCUGCAGCGUAGAUCCUUCGGGGUUAGAUACAUUGGUGCUAAGCUAUAGCCUUGUAUAGACAACUUGUUGACUAUGCUCAGUCAUGUAGCUUACUCGCUGAUGCUAUUUUACCUACGCUUAGGAUGUUGACACACGCGCGUGCUCG